CCUACGGGCGGCAGCAGUGAGGAAUAUUGGUCAAUGGACGAAAGUCUGAACCAGCCAUGCCGCGUGCAGGAAGACGGCUCUAUGAGUUGUAAACUGCUGUUGUACAAGGGUAAACCGGAAUACGUGUAUGAAGCUGAAAGUACUGUACGAAUAAGGAUCGGCUAACUCCGUGCCAGCAGCCGCGGUAAGACGGAGGAUCCAAGCGUUAUCCGGAUUUAUUUGGUUGAAAGGGUGCGUAGGAGGAUUGAUAAGUUAGAGGUGAAAUGUCCGGGCUCAACUCGGUAACUGCCUCUAAUACUGUUGAUCUAGCGCGUAGGUGCGGUAGGCGGAAUGUAUGGUGUAGCGGU
Molecule: ribosomal RNA, 347 nt
Filed under: uncultured bacterium
Lineage: Bacteria
Description: partial 16S ribosomal RNA
Rfam family: Bacterial small subunit ribosomal RNA
Source: RNAcentral